Molecule: ribosomal RNA, 451 nt
Filed under: uncultured bacterium
Lineage: Bacteria
Description: SSU rRNA
Rfam family: Bacterial small subunit ribosomal RNA
Source: RNAcentral
AGAACGAACGCUGGCGGCAUGCCUAACACAUGCAAGUCGAACGUGAUCCAGGCUUCGGCCUGGUGAAAGUGGCAGACGGGUGAGUAACGCGUGGGAACCUGCCCUGUGGUAGGGAAUAACCGUGGGAAACUGCGGCUAAUACCCUAUGAGUCCUUCGGGAGAAAGAUUUAUCGCCAUAGGAGGGGCCCGCGUCGGAUUAGGUAGUUGGUGGGGUAACGGCCUACCAAGCCUUCGAUCCGUAGCUGGUCUGAGAGGAUGAUCAGCCACACUGGGACUGAGAUACGGCCCAGACUCCUACGGGAGGCAGCAGUGGGGAUAUUGGACAAUGGGGGCAACCCUGAUCCAGCAAUGCCGCGUGGAUGAUGAAGGCCUUCGGGUUGUAAAGUCCUUUCGGCGGGAAGAUGAUGACGGUACCGCAGAAGAGCCCCGGCUAACUCGCGCCAGCAGCCGC